AGCCCCGGAGUGAAAAAUGUUUUGUGAGUGGAUUACUAUUAUUACUUAUAUGUAUUCUACAAAGUAUUUAUGCUUGAUAGUAUGAUUUAGUAUCAUGUCAUGAUUAUUUGUACUCAUAUUAUAUGAUUGAUUGAAUAAUGAGAUGUGAUUGCCAGAUACCAUAUGUGUACCCUUCACCAUAGGCUCUAUGUAUGUGUAUUGAGAGUUAGAUUACUCGGCCCUUGUGAUGUAGUUAAUUCCGCUGAGUAUGGAGAGGUGUUUCCCCUACUUUACUUGUGCAAUGAUGAUUCCAUCGAGUAUUGAGAGUUAUUUCUCCUAAAUAUUAUUUGGUGUAGUUUU
RNAcentral lists this long non-coding RNA (339 nucleotides) under Citrus sinensis (sweet orange). Its description in RNAcentral is "long non-coding RNA (CSIN_LNC005186)". Lineage: Eukaryota; Viridiplantae; Streptophyta; Magnoliopsida; Sapindales; Rutaceae. The record is from RNAcentral.